RNAcentral lists this ribosomal RNA (492 nucleotides) under uncultured bacterium. RNAcentral describes it as "partial 16S ribosomal RNA". It matches the Rfam family "Bacterial small subunit ribosomal RNA", at positions 29 to 507 of the family's 1533-position model. The record is from RNAcentral.
AGUGAACGCUGGCGGUAGGCCUAACACAUGCAAGUCGAACGGCAGCACAGUAAGAGCUUGCUCUUACGGGUGGCGAGUGGCGGACGGGUGAGGAAUACAUCGGAAUCUACUCUUUCGUGGGGGAUAACGUAGGGAAACUUACGCUAAUACAGCAUACGACCUACGGGUGAAAGCAGGGGAUCUUCGGACCUUGCGCGAUUGAAUGAGCCGAUGUCGGACUAGCUAGUUGGCGGGGUAAAGGCCCACCAAGGCGACGAUCCGUAGCUGGUCUGAGAGGAUGGUCGGCCACACUGGAACUGAGACACGGUCCAGGCUCCUACGGGAGGCAGCAGUGGGGAAUAUUGGACAAUGGGCGCAAGCCUGGUCCAGCCAUACCGCGUGGGUGAAGAAGGCCUUCGGGUUGUAAAGCCCUUUUGUUGGGAAAGAAAAGCAGCAGGUUAAUACCCCGCUGUUCUGACGGUACCCAAAGAAUAAGCACCGGCUAACUUCGUG